GCCGGGUGCAGUGGCUCACACCUGUAAUCGCAGCACUCUGGGAGGCCGAGGUGGGCAGAUCACCUGAGGUCAGGAGUUUGAGACCAGCCUGGAGCCUGGCCAACAUGGCGAAACCCUGUCUCUACUAAAAAUACAAAAAUUAGCUGGUGUGGUGGCAUGCGCCUGCCAGCUACUUGGGAGUAAUCCCAGCUACUCAGGAGGCUGAGGCUGGAGAAUUGCUUGAACCCAGGAGGCAGAGGCUGCAGUGAGCUGCGAUCAUGCCACUGCACUCCAGCCUGGGCCACAGAGUGAGACUCCGUACCCCCACCCCCAACAAAAAAGAAAAAAAGAAAAAGAAAAAUUAGCAUUCCCCCCUCCCCUCUGAUAGCUGGGUCCACCUUCCUGGCCCCACAUCUUAGUGUUGGAUGGCGCUGUGCUUGCUGACCACGUGUCACUUGCACACUUUCCCCAGCUUCAGUCUGCCAGGAUAGGGUGACAGCAUGGGGCCCAGGACCCACAGGGAGGAGACCAGCAGAGGCAGGUGGGAUCAGGACUUGACCUUCCUCUUUCAAUAACUCUAAAUUAGUUCUUGCUACUUUCACUCGUUCAGGUUGACAGACUCCCUGAGACAUGCAGACGUGACUUCCUAAGCAUCAUUCGUGCGUCCAUCCCAGCCCUGCCGGACCAUGUCUGACCUGGGCUCAGGAUGGCACUGGCACCCAGGGGUGAUUUAGGGGUUAGGUUUCAGCGGGCUCUACCUGAGGUGGGCUCAGGUCACAGAGCACAGCCAGGAAGGAGAACCAAGCUCUUCUAGAAGUGUAUGGAAAGAGUUCCAGGAGGAAGAGCUGCCAGGCUGGGCCUGGAGUUGGCCAGGAUCAAGGCUGGCUGCAACAUUUAUCCAGGCCCAAACCCAACAUAGACGGAGUCCAGCCCCACCAGGCAUGGUAGCAUUUUUUGUGAUCUGGAGUAAGACCCUCUACUGGCAACUUCACUGGAAAUUCCCUGGGUUCUAAGGAAGGAAUGAACCUUGUUGGACUCCAGGGGGUCAAGGGGAAUCCUGGAUGUUAGCAUGAGAGCCCCAGAUGAGCCUGAGCUUCUGUUCAGUCCUGCCACCCAUCCUGCCUGGAGAGCCUGGGUCCAGGAAAGAGACCUCUGGAGGUCCUUGCUUUUGCAAAGGAAGCAGUUUUUCACACAGUAGUCCAGCUUUUGGAUGGGGUGAGAAAGAAGGCAAUGGAGAAAGGAAAGGUCUGCAUUUCUGGAAUGACAAAGCUUUAAGUCACAAUGAUUGUAGCUUCCAAGUAGACCACUGAGGCCUCUCUCUGCCUUGACAUUUCAUCUACAGCUUCUGUGGCCAACUACUAGCGUCCAGUGUUGUUUCAGUUGAGAUUCCUGAUGAGCCCAGUUUUAUCUUUUUGCACCCUCCUUCAAUUUCCUUGUGUGUAAAAUGGGAUGACCAUCUCCUCGGUAAGAUGUCAGGUGGUGAGCACAGUGCCUGCAUGUGGUAAGUGCUAAAGAAAAGUAAUUAGAAUCAGUAAAACUGAAGAACUCUUUAGAAAAAGCAGUCACCUGUGCUGGCUGAGCUUGUGUAAAAGAAAGAUUUACUGACUCAGUUUUAAUUUCUGUGAAUACACCUUUGUGUAGUGAGGAGCAAACCAAGAGGACUGAGCCUUGGGCCUGCCAGCAACUCACCUGAUGCCUUUCUCUGGGCCUCAGUUUUUCUCUCUCUGAAGUGGAUGUGUGUCAUAUGACCCAGAGAUUUCUAAUCUAUCUUCUCCAGCUAGAUUCUUGCAUUAGGGGUGAACUUGUUCAUUGGGUAGAGUUGCUUCCCCUGGUUUGGAGAGGCAGCAUUUGCAGCCCCAGAGGCUAUCAGGGAUAAGGGUGUUGGGCCAAGAAUAGCUGGGCCAGGAGCAAUAAACUGUUAAGGGCUUGAUGAGUCUGAGCAACUGACCAAUAACAUCCAAUGCCCCUGGAACCUGGCAACUCCAACUUUAGGUGGCAGAGGAUUAAACACAUUUUGCCUCAAGGUGAGUCUGUACAGGUCCCCAGUGGUCUCUGGGCCUGCCUUCCAGCUCUGUGAGGAACAGGAGCUGAGCAAGUGCCUACAGUCACCACGCUGCCUACAGUGUCCAGGGGAUUCUAGCCUGGAUAGGAAAACUGGCUUGGCUGAGUGGACUGUCCCAGGGUGAGGAUCUGGGAAUGAGCAUAUGGGGAUGGCAGACUACCACACGCCCUGGAAGCUGGAGAGGAAGGAGGCACCCAGGACAGAAGGUGAGGUUGCCCCAGGUCAACAACUUCCAGAUGAGAUCCACCUUGAGUCAUGAUCCUCAGAUGCCAAGCCACAGGAACCUCAUCACCCACCUCAUCAUCCAAACUGGAACUUGAUGGAAAUCAUUCCACAACUAUGUGUUGGUGGGUUGUCUUCUUAAUACUUGGAAGGAGGUCUUAAUACUUAUCCCACUGAAAUCAUGCUACCUACACCUAGCAAAACAUACAUCAAAGAAAAACUUCUAACUGGGUAUAUCACAUGCCCACUGUACUAACACACUGGAGAACCCCCAACAACAGGAGGCCCGGGGAGAGUCCCUGACCCACAGGGACUUCAGGUCAAGACCACACCCACCAUCCUUUCAAGGUGGAGACAGUCCCCGUAGGAACCAAACUGAUGUAUAAUAAAACUCAUCAUUUAUUUCUCUUCUCCCUACAGCAUUUCAGCCAGUGAAUGGUAGAAUUUUGCAGGAAUAAGAAUUAGAGGUGUAGAGGGUUUUGAGAUGCGGGGUGGGUCAGGUUUCACUACUCAAGGACCCUAAGACAGGUUUUUGGAAGAAGUGUGUGUGUGUGUGUGUGUGUGUGUGUGUGUGUGUGUAGGACCACAUUCAGCCACUCCCAUGGGCAAGUAUGACAUAUGACCACUCCUCUCUUCUUGCCCCCUGGCCUCCUUAACCUAGAAGUCACCUUGCUGGCUCAUGGGAUUCCUUGAUACUUCUGCAAUCCAGCUUCUCCGCUCCAACAGGCUGUCCCUGCCCAGCUGAGCUGGCCCACCCAGGGUUCCCUCACAGUGCUAUGGGCCUCCACUGGCCCCCUCUGCACAGCCCAUCCUCUCCAAUCUUUCUUUCCAAAGUGAAAUCUACCAAUGCUUACUCUUUGGCUCUGGCCACAUGAGAGACAGACAGACAUACAGACACACACUUCUUUCUUUUUGCCUUGGCUCACCACUAUUCAAUGCCUGGAAGCCUUAUUUUCUCCCUUGGGAACCUCCACUCAGUCUUUACAACUGUCAUCUCCUCCAGGAAGUCAUCCCUGCUCUUCUUCC
This 3289-nucleotide long non-coding RNA is filed under the name Homo sapiens (human). RNAcentral describes it as "HSALNT0165693". Lineage: Eukaryota; Metazoa; Chordata; Mammalia; Primates; Hominidae. The record is from RNAcentral.